RNAcentral lists this ribosomal RNA (497 nucleotides) under uncultured bacterium. RNAcentral's name for it is "partial 16S ribosomal RNA". It matches the Rfam family "Bacterial small subunit ribosomal RNA", at positions 28 to 507 of the family's 1533-position model. The record is from RNAcentral.
GACGAACGCUGGCGGCGUGCCUAAUACAUGCAAGUUGAGCGCUGAAGGUUGGUACUUGUACCGACUGGAUGAGAAGCGAACGGGUGAGUAACGCGUGGGGAAUCUGCCUUUGAGCGGGGGACAACAUUUGGAAACGAAUGCUAAUACCGAAUAAAAACUUUAAACACAAGUUUUAAGUUUGAAAUAUGCAAUUGCAUCACUCAAAGAUGAUCCCGCGUUGUAUUAGCUAGUUGGUGAGGUAAAGGCUCACCAAGGCGAUGAUACAUAGCCGACCUGAGAGGGUGAUCGGCCACAAUGGGACUGAGACACGGCCCAAACUCCUACGGGAGGCAGCAGUAGGGAAGCUUCAGCAAUGGACGAAAGUCUGAACGAGCAACGCCGCGUGAGUGAAGAAGGGUUUCGGAUCGUAAAACUCUGUUGGUAGAGAAGAAUGUUGGUGAGAGUGGAAAGCUCAUCAAGUGACGGUAACUACCCAGAAAGGGACGGCUAACUACGUG